CCCCUCCCCGUGCAUAUCUGCACACACGCUCCCAGGGAGCCCCGGCGGACAGACGCGAGAAAACAGAGGGGCCCCGAGCGCCUACGUGGAGCGCGCACACACUGAUGCCACGCUUUCCACGGUGGGAAGGAAAUGAAGCGCGCAGUGGCCAGAGCCCGGCGGAACUAGUUUUCCACUCGUGAUGCUCAAAGUGGCAAAAAUAUUAUAGAAGAAAACUAUUGGAUUGUCAAGUUGUAUUAUAAAUACAAGACCUGGAUGCAAUGGACUCAUGCAUAAUCUUUCUGUGUAAGACAUUUGCCAUCUGCCUACCACUCCCAUCUUGAGUAGAGAAGGCUGCUGGAAGACACGAUACAGGCCUCAAAUAUGUCAAAGAUUCUUCAUCAAGGAAAGAAAAAAGCGUUUUUCUGCUUGCCAUGUCUGAAAGAAUCAAUCUACUGGUAUAGGUGUGUGUGCACAGAAAUGAAGAUAUUGACAUGAGAAAAUAACAGUGGAAUCAGAAGAAACAAGAAAUGGUAUACUGACAAAAGUAAUGUUUUUGUUAUUGUUAGAUGUUUUAAUCUUUGUGCUUCAGGCCUCAUUUCAUAUUUCGUACUGCAAAAUGAAAAACAAACAUAUGAAAGAAGAGAAUUGUGUUCUUUUCCUUUUGAACUGCUAUUUAAAUGAGUUCCUAUUACUGUUUGUAAGAACUACAUUUUAGGGAAUGUAUUAAAUCCCAACAAGUAAACAAAUACAUCUUAAAUCUAAUCAUUACAAGAUUAUUCCUGAUAUUUAUAAUACCCUGGCCUUUAAGUUUUCUUUUAGAACAGCUGCAGGGCUUUUGGACAAGAUGAGUAGCUCUUAAUCGAACGGCUGAAAAACUCCCAAGAAGUGAUUUGUCAUCUUAGGCAAGGCAUUUUUUAAAUAACCCAAUGGCACAUGAAACUAGGCUUAAAUGCCAUUAUGAUAAAAACCACUUAAGCUGCUGAUAAUCAUCCUAUGUGAAUUGGCACUCUAUAUGCUUACAGACAAAUCUGGACAUGCUUCAAUUACCUUUUCAGCAUAGCUCUGAAUACUAUUAAUACUAUGAAAAAUGUUAUAUAUGUAAAUUACAAAAAUACCACUGUAAGUAAAAAGUGUAUGUUCAUCAUUGUAAUUAGUGGCUUGUGCCAAGAAAGCAUCUUGUGAAAGCAGAUAAUUGACUUUUUUAAAUUAGAGGUGAAAGAAACCUGCAAGAUCAUUUUAUUAACCGUGACAAACUUGGCAUGCUGCUAUUACAUUUUAUCUAGAAAGAAAUGCUAAUUCACUGAUUCAUAACAGAUACCUCGUUUCAGUGUUCUUUUCUAUUUAGUAAUGCUGAUGAGUUCUUUGAGUUGAUCACCUGUAAAUUGCUCUUGUGAAGUAGUCUUACCCCUAAUUAUUAUUAUAGGGCUACCUAUAUUACCUUUUUUUAUCAAGAUGCUGGUCUAUGGGCUGAUGAAAAAGGAAGUUCUUACACAUUUAGGUUCCAGAAGUCUGGAUAAUACUAGUUUUGCUUCCAGGCUCUUAAUGUAAUGCUGAAUAUGUCUGAAUUUUAUUGAAAUUCUCCGUUCUGAAGUGUAACAAAUACAUCUUCACUGACUUUCACUGAAGAAUCAACGAGACUAAUUCAGGUGCAGAGAAUUUCCACAGAGGCCUUCAAAGAUCUCUCCCCAUUGGCUAUAUGGAGUCUUCACUGAAUAAAAGCUGGUAAAAGCUGCAUUUUCAUCUUCAAGAGACAUCUACUGUUGAAAUCCUUCUAAGCCUAGCCAAGUUUAUUUUCUGCCUUAUCACACUUGAAUAUUUUUUACCAAAGGAAAAACAAAAGAAGGCACUUAACAUGCUUGUGACCUAAAUAUUUUACUAUAGGAAGCUUGCAUUCACUUUACACCUGGGCAGCCAGGCUUUGUUCUUUGUGGCACUGUAUGUCCAAACCACCUCUCCAAUGGAAGCAGAGUUUAUUAUUCUUCAGUAUUUUUAAAGUCUUUU
Gallus gallus (chicken) is the source of this 1983-nucleotide long non-coding RNA. The record is from Ensembl. NCBI's taxonomy places the organism in Eukaryota, Metazoa, Chordata, Aves, Galliformes, Phasianidae.